GUUACUGACGCUGAGGCUCGAAAGCGUGGGGAGCAAACAGGAUUAGAUACCUGGUAGUCCACGCGUAAACGAUGAGUGCUAAGUGUUAGGGGUUCCGCCCUUAGUGCUGCAGCUAACGCAUUAAGCACUCCGCUGGGGAGUACGACCGCAAGGUUGAAACUCAAAGGAAUUGACGGGGGCCCGCACAAGCGGUGGAGCAUGUGGUUUAAUUCGAAGCAACGCGAAGAACCUUACCAGGUCUUGACAUCCUUUGACAACUCUAGAGAUAGAGCUUUCCCUUCGGGGACAAAGUGACAGGUGGUGCAUGGUUGUCGUCAGCUCGUGUCGUGAGAUGUUGGGUUAAGUCCCGCAACGAGCGCAACCCUUAUUGUUAGUUGCCAUCAUUCAGUUGGGCACUCUAGCGAAACUGCCGGUGACAAACCGGAGGAAGGUGGGGAUGACGUCAAAUCAUCAUGCCCCUUAUGACCUGGGCUACACACGUGCUACAAUGGACAGUACAAUGAGCAGCGACACGGCGACGUGAAGCGAAUCUCAUAAAGCUGUUCUCAGUUCGGAUUGUAGGCUGCAACUCGCCUACAUGAAGCCGGAAUCGCUAGUAAUCGCGGAUCAGCACGCCGCGGUGAAUACGUUCCCGGGCCUUGUACACACCGCCCGUCACACCACGAAAGUUUGUAACACCCAAAGUCGGUGAGGUAACCUUCGGGAGCCAGCCGCCUAAGGUGGGAUAGAUGAUUGGGGUGAAGUCGUAACAAGGUAACCA
RNAcentral lists this ribosomal RNA (760 nucleotides) under uncultured Vagococcus sp. RNAcentral's name for it is "bacterial SSU rRNA". It matches the Rfam family "Bacterial small subunit ribosomal RNA", at positions 736 to 1502 of the family's 1533-position model. The record is from RNAcentral. Lineage: Bacteria; Bacillati; Bacillota; Bacilli; Lactobacillales; Enterococcaceae.